ACCUGGUUGAUCCUGCCAGGGGCGACCGCUAUUGGAGUUCGAUUAAGCCAUGCGAGUAGAAAGAAAUUAGAUUCUUUGCAUACUGCUCAGUAACACGUGGAUAACCUGCCCUACACUGGGGGAUAACCUCGGGAAACUGAGAAUAAUACCCCAUAGACCACAACGCCUGGAACGGUGUGUGGUUGAAAGCUCAGGCGGUGUAGGAUGGGUCUGCGGCGUAUCAGGUCGUAGGGGGUGUAAUGGACCUCCUAGCCAUCGACGCGUACGGGUUGUGGGAGCAAUAGCCCGGAGACGGAUUCUGAGACACGAAUCCGGACCCUACGGGGUGCAGCAGGCGCGAAAACUUCACACUGCAGGCAACUGUGAUGAGGGAACUCCAAGUGACUGCACAUUGUGUAGCCUUUUCUUGAAUUUUAAUAGUUCUUGGAAUAAGGGCUGGGAAAGACCGGUGCCAGCCGCCGCGGUAAUACCGGCAGCUCAAGUGGUCGUCGCUUUUAUAGGGCCUAAAACGUCCGUAGCCUGUUUGGUAAAUCUG
RNAcentral lists this ribosomal RNA (535 nucleotides) under uncultured Candidatus Poseidoniales archaeon. Its description in RNAcentral is "bacterial SSU rRNA". It matches the Rfam family "Archaeal small subunit ribosomal RNA", at positions 1 to 541 of the family's 1478-position model. The record is from RNAcentral. Lineage: Archaea; Methanobacteriati; Thermoplasmatota; Candidatus Poseidoniia; Candidatus Poseidoniales.